GGCCAGUUAGCUCAGUCAGUUGAGCGUGAUGCUAACAACGCCAAGGUUGUGGGUUCAAUUCCCAUUUGGUCC
RNAcentral lists this transfer RNA (72 nucleotides) under Apaloderma vittatum (bar-tailed trogon). It matches the Rfam family "tRNA". From Rfam's summary of the family: Transfer RNA (tRNA) molecules are approximately 80 nucleotides in length. Their secondary structure includes four short double-helical elements and three loops (D, anti-codon, and T loops). The record is from Rfam by way of RNAcentral. Lineage: Eukaryota; Metazoa; Chordata; Aves; Trogoniformes; Trogonidae.